Non-coding RNA from Paramuricea clavata, 333 nucleotides. The record is from the annotation of a GenBank genome assembly. Lineage: Eukaryota; Metazoa; Cnidaria; Anthozoa; Malacalcyonacea; Plexauridae.
AAAAAAGGUUCAAAAUAAUCCGGUUUUUUUGGGUUAGAAAUAACUCCAUUUCUGGGGUUAAAAUGUAACUCCACUUUUGGGGUUAAUCUAACUCUCAUAUUGGAGUUAAAAUCUAACCCCUAUUCAGGAGUUAAAUAAUUUUAACUCCAUUUCAGGAGUUAAACCGGCACUCUUGAAGACUUUUCCUCAUCUUUUUAAUUAUUUUACACAUUUUUAAUGUUAUGAAAACCAAAACCAUGAAAAAACAUCACUCAGUUUUCAUAACAUUAAAAAUUGCGUAGAAAUAAUUAAAAAACGAGGUAACAUCUGCCAAGAGCGUUAGUUUACGCGGAA